UCGGACUCAACUCAACGAGUUUGGAUGCCUAGUUACAUCUCACGAACUCGGACUCAACUCAACGAGUUCGGACAUUCGCAUCCAUAGGUGAACUCGGACUCAACUCAACGAGUUCGGAUGCUCAACCAUCCUAGUGACAUGUCACUUGUAUCCUAAUCUAUCCCUAAGGUUCAAACGGGCUUUUUCCCUCGAUCUCACAUUUGCC
Molecule: long non-coding RNA, 205 nt
Filed under: Gossypium barbadense (sea-island cotton)
Lineage: Eukaryota; Viridiplantae; Streptophyta; Magnoliopsida; Malvales; Malvaceae
Description: long non-coding RNA (GBAR_LNC002406)
Source: RNAcentral